Molecule: ribosomal RNA, 440 nt
Filed under: Acanthamoeba sp.
Lineage: Eukaryota; Discosea; Longamoebia; Acanthamoebidae
Description: partial 18S ribosomal RNA
Rfam family: Eukaryotic small subunit ribosomal RNA
Source: RNAcentral
UGGCCCARAUMGUUUACCGUGAAAAAAUUAGAGUGUUCAAAGCAGGCAGAUCCAAUUUUCUGCCACCGAAUACAUUAGCAUGGGAUAAUGGAAUAGGACCCUGUCCUCCUAUUUUCAGUUGGUUUUGGCAGCGCGAGGACUAGGGUAAUGAUUAAUAGGGAUAGUUGGGGGCAUUAAUAUUUAAUUGUCAGAGGUGAAAUUCUUGGAUUUAUGAAAGAUUAACUUCUGCGAAAGCAUCUGCCAAGGAUGUUUUCAUUAAUCAAGAACGAAAGUUAGGGGAUCGAAGACGAUCAGAUACCGUCGUAGUCUUAACCAUAAAGGAUGCCGACCAGCGAUUAGGAGACGUUGAAUCCCCUCCUCCACCAUCGGUUGCGGUCAUCCUUGGCGUCUCGGUUUCGGCCGGGGCGCGGGGAUUGKSYMSMCMMYYUUGSMYCCRAYWG